Molecule: unclassified non-coding RNA, 190 nt
Filed under: uncultured fungus
Lineage: Eukaryota; Fungi
Also listed under: 1 other name
Description: sequence contains ITS1, 5.8S rRNA gene
Source: RNAcentral
CCGAGUUUACAACUCCCAAACCCCUGUGAACUUAUACCUUUACUGUUGCUUCGGCGGGUUAUUGCCCCGGGGAAACAGGCGGCCGUCAGGUCCCUGCCCACCCGGAAACAGGCGCCCGCCGGGGGACUCAAACUCUUCUGUAUUUUUUUGUUUACUGUAUACUGUCUGAGUAAAAAUUCAUAAUGAAUCA